RNAcentral lists this ribosomal RNA (489 nucleotides) under uncultured bacterium. RNAcentral describes it as "partial 16S ribosomal RNA". It matches the Rfam family "Bacterial small subunit ribosomal RNA", at positions 28 to 507 of the family's 1533-position model. The record is from RNAcentral.
GAUGAACGCUAGCUACAGGCUUAACACAUGCAAGUCGAGGGGCAGCAUGAUUGAAGCUUGCUUCAAUCGAUGGCGACCGGCGCACGGGUGAGUAACACGUAUCCAACCUGCCGAUAACUCGGGGAUAGCCUUUCGAAAGAAAGAUUAAUACCCGAUAGUAUAGUAUUUCCGCAUGGUUUCACUAUUAAAGAACUUCGGUUAUCGAUGGGGAUGCGUUCCAUUAGAUAGUUGGCGGGGUAACGGCCCACCAAGUCAACGAUGGAUAGGGGUUCUGAGAGGAAGGUCCCCCACAUUGGAACUGAGACACGGUCCAAACUCCUACGGGAGGCAGCAGUGAGGAAUAUUGGUCAAUGGACGAGAGUCUGAACCAGCCAAGUAGCGUGAAGGAUGACUGCCCUAUGGGUUGUAAACUUCUUUUAUACGGGAAUAAAGUGGAGUAUGCAUACUCCUUUGUAUGUACCGUAUGAAUAAGGAUCGGCUAGCUCCGUG